CGCAGAGCCAGAGAGGGAAAUCACUUUCAUCUGGAGAAGCGCGUGGCAAAUGCAGCUGUCCUUAAAAAAAGGAUAGAUUUGAGUUGGCCUGAUGGAGAGAUCUUCCAGACUGCUCCGGCCCAUGGAGGAUGCAGAGCAUCACAUAAGAUCAAACAUUGAUAAGCCAGUACUUUACCAGUGUUUUAUCAAAUUCUUUAAAGGACGAGGAGUUUUUGCCACUGAAUUCAUAUCCAAAGGAGACUUUGUUGUGGAGUACCGAGGUGAACUGCUUCCACAACAGGAGAGCGAGGUCCGAGCUGAUCAGUACAAUCAUUCUGAAAAGGUGCUUAUUUUCAAUGGAAAGGAAGAACAUGGUGCAUUGAUGCAUCUGAAGAGGACUCCUCCCUUGGGAGACUCGUUAAUGAUGAUCACAAAAGACACAAUCUCAAAAUGAAGGCCAUACAAGCAAACGAUGAGCCACACUUGUGCCUCUUCGCGACUCGAGAUAUUGUAGCUGGCGAAGAGUUGACUUAUAGUUUUGGUGAU
This is a long non-coding RNA of Oncorhynchus masou masou (cherry salmon), 525 nucleotides long. RefSeq lists it as uncharacterized. Lineage: Eukaryota; Metazoa; Chordata; Actinopteri; Salmoniformes; Salmonidae. The record is from RefSeq and is a predicted model, not a curated record. The transcript has 4 exons.